AACGCACGCUAGUGGGCAGCAGCACAUGAGAAAUCAAAGUCUUUGGGUUCCGGGGGGAGUAUGGUCGCAAGGCUGAAACUUAAAGGAAUUGACGGAAGGGCACCACCAGGAGUGGAGCCUGCGGCUUAAUUUGACUCAACACGGGAAAACUUACCAGGUCCAGACAUAGGAAGGAUUGACAGAUUGAGA
This 189-nucleotide ribosomal RNA is filed under the name Thraustochytriidae sp. RNAcentral's name for it is "Thraustochytriaceae sp. partial small subunit ribosomal RNA". It matches the Rfam family "Eukaryotic small subunit ribosomal RNA", at positions 1065 to 1253 of the family's 1831-position model. The record is from RNAcentral. Lineage: Eukaryota; Bigyra; Thraustochytrida; Thraustochytriidae.